AGAAGCGAGACUGUGAGGUGGAGCAAAACUCAAAAACCGGUCCCAGUUCGGACUGCAGGCUGAAACUCGCCUGCACGAAGUUGGAGUUGCUAGUAAUCGCAGAUCAGAAUGCUGCGGUGAAUGCGUUCCCGGGUCUUGUACACACCGCCCGUCACACCAUGGGAGCCGGUAAUACCCGAAGUCAGUAGUCCAACCUCGUGAGGACGCUGCCGAAGGUAGGAUUGGCGACUGGGGUGAAGUCGUAACAAGGUACC
RNAcentral lists this ribosomal RNA (254 nucleotides) under uncultured bacterium. RNAcentral describes it as "partial 16S ribosomal RNA". It matches the Rfam family "Bacterial small subunit ribosomal RNA", at positions 1245 to 1500 of the family's 1533-position model. The record is from RNAcentral.